This 468-nucleotide ribosomal RNA is filed under the name uncultured bacterium. RNAcentral's name for it is "bacterial SSU rRNA". It matches the Rfam family "Bacterial small subunit ribosomal RNA", at positions 28 to 507 of the family's 1533-position model. The record is from RNAcentral.
GACGAACGCUGGCGGCGCGCUUAACACAUGCAAGUCGUGCGGUGUCGAAGGCAAGUCUUACGACAAGCCUUCGACACAGCGGCGAACGGGUGAGUAACACGUGAGUAGCUGUCCUAAGGAGGGGGAUAACGCCUGGAAACGGGUGCUAAUACCCCAUAUGCCUCGCAAGAGGUAAAAGUGUACUUAUUACAGCCUUAGGGUGUGCUCGCGGCCUAUCAGCUAGUUGGUGAGGUAACGGCUCACCAAGGCUAAGACGGGUAGCCGGCCUGAGAGGGUGUACGGGCCACACUGGAAUUGAGAUACGGUCCAGACUCCUACGGGAGGCAGCAGUGGGGAAUCUUGGGCAAUGGGCGAAAGCCUGACCCAGCGACGCCGCGUUGGGGAUGAAGCCCUUCGGGGCGUAAACCCAUGUUGUAGGGGACGAAGAAAGUGACGGUACCCUACGAGAAAGCCCCGGCCAACUACGUG